This 468-nucleotide ribosomal RNA is filed under the name uncultured bacterium. Its description in RNAcentral is "partial 16S ribosomal RNA". It matches the Rfam family "Bacterial small subunit ribosomal RNA", at positions 28 to 507 of the family's 1533-position model. The record is from RNAcentral.
GACGAACGCUGGCGGCGUGCUUAACACAUGCCAGUCGAACGGAAAGGCCCUGCUUUUGUGGGGUGCUCGAGUGGCGAACGGGUGAGUAACACGUGAGUAACCUGCCCUUGACUUUGGGAUAACUUCAGGAAACUGGGGCUGAUACCGGAUAGGAGCUCCUGCUGCAUGGUGGGGGUUGGAAAGUUUCGGCGGUUGGGGAUGGACUCGCGGCUUAUCAGCUUGUUGGUGGGGUAGUGGCUUACCAAGGCUUUGACGGGUAGCCGGCCUGAGAGGGUGACCGGCCACAUUGGGACUGAGAUACGGACCAGACUCCUACGGGAGGCAGCAGUGGGGAAUAUUGCACAAUGGGCGGAAGCCUGAUGCAGCAACGCCGCGUGCGGGAUGACGGCCUUCGGGUUGUAAACCGCUUUCGCCUGUGACGAAGCGUGAGUGACGGUAAUGGGUAAAGAAGCACCGGCUAACUACGUG